UACGGAGGGGGCGAGCGUUAUUCGGAAUUAUUGGGCGUAAAGGGCGCGUAGGCGGCUCUAUAAGUCAAAGGGGAAAUCCCUCGGCUCAACUGAGGAACUGCCUUUGAAACUGUUGGGCUUGAGGCCGGGAGAGGGUAGUGGAAUUCCCAGUGUAGCGGUGAAAUGCGUAGAUACUGGGAGGAACACCAGUGGCGAAGGCGGCUACCUGGACCGGUUCUGACGCUGAGAAGCGAAAGCAUGGGGAGCGAACAGG
This 253-nucleotide ribosomal RNA is filed under the name uncultured bacterium. Its description in RNAcentral is "partial 16S ribosomal RNA". It matches the Rfam family "Bacterial small subunit ribosomal RNA", at positions 524 to 776 of the family's 1533-position model. The record is from RNAcentral.